AUGUGGACAAAUGGAAACAGCAAUUUGCAGUACAAGUUCUUCGGCGAUGUUAUCACAUUCGACACGACGUAUCGGACGAACUUGUACGACAUGCCAUUUGGUUUGUUCGUUGGAGUGAACAAUCAUUUUCAAAGCAUAAUACUAGCUUGUAUUCUGAUGCGUGAUGAACAAGUGGAGAGCUUCCAAUGGUUAUUUUCUGAAUUCAUCAACAUGAUGGGCGGCAAACAUCCGCAGACAAUAUUGACAGACCAAGCAAGAGCCAUGGAGAUAGCAAUCAAAAGUGAGCUUCCUGAUACUGUCCACAGGUUGUGCAAGUGGCAUAUUCUUAAGAAGGCAAAAGAAAACCUUGGCCCACUGUACACAAGCAAAAGCGAGUUCAGGGCUGAAUUUCACAAAGUCGUGAAUCACAUGAUAAGUGAAGAGGAAUUUGAGACUGCAUGGGGUGCACUUGUUGAGAAAUACAAUUUGAAAUCCCACAAUUACAUGAGAAACCUCUACGAGAUACGUCAUAAGUGGGCGAAGCCAUACUUCAAGGGCGUCUUCUGUGCGAAAAUGACCAGCACCCAGCGUAGCGAGAGCGCCAACAACAUGCUGAAGAUUUACAUGCCGCCAGCUAGCUCAAUGCAUGUAUUUGUGCGCCAAUACAUGAGGCUUCAAUUCGACCGUGAAUCAGAUGAGAGCUACCAAGAGAAAAGAACAAGGAUUCUGAGUUAG
Molecule: ribosomal RNA, 714 nt
Filed under: Triticum aestivum (bread wheat)
Lineage: Eukaryota; Viridiplantae; Streptophyta; Magnoliopsida; Poales; Poaceae
Description: partial small subunit ribosomal RNA
Source: RNAcentral